This 573-nucleotide ribosomal RNA is filed under the name Triticum aestivum (bread wheat). Its description in RNAcentral is "partial small subunit ribosomal RNA". The record is from RNAcentral. Lineage: Eukaryota; Viridiplantae; Streptophyta; Magnoliopsida; Poales; Poaceae.
AUGGCCACCACGCGACUCCGCCUCCUACUCCUCAUAUUUACGCUGCUCGCCGGCACCGCCGUCUUCUCCGUCUCCGCUGCCCGCGACGCCACUGACGAGACGGUGGUCGCGGGUCCGGUCAGCGACGUCCCCGACGAGACGGUGGUCGCGGGUCCGGUCGGCGCGGAGCCGAGCGCGUACGAGAUGUUGGAGAAAUUUGGCUUCCCGAAGGGAAUACUCCCGGUGGGCGUCACCGACUACACGCUCCGGCGGUCGGACGGCGCGUUCCAGGUGUUCAUGGACAAGGAUUGUGAGUUCGAGGUGGACGGCGGGUACAAGCUUACCUACAAGCAGACGAUCUCCGGCAGGGUGGCCGGCGGCAGCUUGUGGGACCUCCGGGGCGUCUCGGUGAAGAUCUUCUUCGUCAACUGGGGCAUCGACCAGGUGCUCAUGGCCGACGCCGACCACCUCAUGUUCUACGUCGGCCCGCUCUCCCAGGCCUUCACGUCGGACAACUUCGAGGAGUCCCCGCAGUGCAGGUGCGGCGUCGCGGAUGUUGGCGAGAGCGCCGGCGUCGGCGUGGCGGCGAUGUAG